RNAcentral lists this ribosomal RNA (2904 nucleotides) under Escherichia coli. RNAcentral describes it as "23S ribosomal RNA". It matches the Rfam family "Bacterial large subunit ribosomal RNA". The record is from RNAcentral. Lineage: Bacteria; Pseudomonadati; Pseudomonadota; Gammaproteobacteria; Enterobacterales; Enterobacteriaceae.
UUAAGCGACUAAGCGUACACGGUGGAUGCCCUGGCAGUCAGAGGCGAUGAAGGACGUGCUAAUCUGCGAUAAGCGUCGGUAAGGUGAUAUGAACCGUUAUAACCGGCGAUUUCCGAAUGGGGAAACCCAGUGUGAUUCGUCACACUAUCAUUAACUGAAUCCAUAGGUUAAUGAGGCGAACCGGGGGAACUGAAACAUCUAAGUACCCCGAGGAAAAGAAAUCAACCGAGAUUCCCCCAGUAGCGGCGAGCGAACGGGGAGCAGCCCAGAGCCUGAAUCAGUGUGUGUGUUAGUGGAAGCGUCUGGAAAGGCGCGCGAUACAGGGUGACAGCCCCGUACACAAAAAUGCACAUACUGUGAGCUCGAUGAGUAGGGCGGGACACGUGGUAUCCUGUCUGAAUAUGGGGGGACCAUCCUCCAAGGCUAAAUACUCCUGACUGACCGAUAGUGAACCAGUACCGUGAGGGAAAGGCGAAAAGAACCCCGGCGAGGGGAGUGAAAAAGAACCUGAAACCGUGUACGUACAAGCAGUGGGAGCACAGAGCAAUCUGUGUGACUGCGUACCUUUUGUAUAAUGGGUCAGCGACUUAUAUUCUGUAGCAAGGUUAACCGAAUAGGGGAGCCGAAGGGAAACCGAGUCUUAACUGGGCGUUAAGUUGCAGGGUAUAGACCCGAAACCCGGUGAUCUAGCCAUGGGCAGGUUGAAGGUUGGGUAACACUAACUGGAGGACCGAACCGACUAAUGUUGAAAAAUUAGCGGAUGACUUGUGGCUGGGGGUGAAAGGCCAAUCAAACCGGGAGAUAGCUGGUUCUCCCCGAAAGCUAUUUAGGUAGCGCCUCGUGAAUUCAUCUCCGGGGGUAGAGCACUGUUUCGGCAAGGGGGUCAUCCCGACUUACCAACCCGAUGCAAACUGCGAAUACCGGAGAAUGUUAUCACGGGAGACACACGGCGGGUGCUAACGUCCGUCGUGAAGAGGGAAACAACCCAGACCGCCAGCUAAGGUCCCAAAGUCAUGGUUAAGUGGGAAACGAUGUGGGAAGGCCCAGACAGCCAGGAUGUUGGCUUAGAAGCAGCCAUCAUUUAAAGAAAGCGUAAUAGCUCACUGGUCGAGUCGGCCUGCGCGGAAGAUGUAACGGGGCUAAACCAUGCACCGAAGCUGCGGCAGCGACGCUUAUGCGUUGUUGGGUAGGGGAGCGUUCUGUAAGCCUGCGAAGGUGUGCUGUGAGGCAUGCUGGAGGUAUCAGAAGUGCGAAUGCUGACAUAAGUAACGAUAAAGCGGGUGAAAAGCCCGCUCGCCGGAAGACCAAGGGUUCCUGUCCAACGUUAAUCGGGGCAGGGUGAGUCGACCCCUAAGGCGAGGCCGAAAGGCGUAGUCGAUGGGAAACAGGUUAAUAUUCCUGUACUUGGUGUUACUGCGAAGGGGGGACGGAGAAGGCUAUGUUGGCCGGGCGACGGUUGUCCCGGUUUAAGCGUGUAGGCUGGUUUUCCAGGCAAAUCCGGAAAAUCAAGGCUGAGGCGUGAUGACGAGGCACUACGGUGCUGAAGCAACAAAUGCCCUGCUUCCAGGAAAAGCCUCUAAGCAUCAGGUAACAUCAAAUCGUACCCCAAACCGACACAGGUGGUCAGGUAGAGAAUACCAAGGCGCUUGAGAGAACUCGGGUGAAGGAACUAGGCAAAAUGGUGCCGUAACUUCGGGAGAAGGCACGCUGAUAUGUAGGUGAAGUCCCUCGCGGAUGGAGCUGAAAUCAGUCGAAGAUACCAGCUGGCUGCAACUGUUUAUUAAAAACACAGCACUGUGCAAACACGAAAGUGGACGUAUACGGUGUGACGCCUGCCCGGUGCCGGAAGGUUAAUUGAUGGGGUCAGCGCAAGCGAAGCUCUUGAUCGAAGCCCCGGUAAACGGCGGCCGUAACUAUAACGGUCCUAAGGUAGCGAAAUUCCUUGUCGGGUAAGUUCCGACCUGCACGAAUGGCGUAAUGAUGGCCAGGCUGUCUCCACCCGAGACUCAGUGAAAUUGAACUCGCUGUGAAGAUGCAGUGUACCCGCGGCAAGACGGAAAGACCCCGUGAACCUUUACUAUAGCUUGACACUGAACAUUGAGCCUUGAUGUGUAGGAUAGGUGGGAGGCUUUGAAGUGUGGACGCCAGUCUGCAUGGAGCCGACCUUGAAAUACCACCCUUUAAUGUUUGAUGUUCUAACGUUGACCCGUAAUCCGGGUUGCGGACAGUGUCUGGUGGGUAGUUUGACUGGGGCGGUCUCCUCCUAAAGAGUAACGGAGGAGCACGAAGGUUGGCUAAUCCUGGUCGGACAUCAGGAGGUUAGUGCAAUGGCAUAAGCCAGCUUGACUGCGAGCGUGACGGCGCGAGCAGGUGCGAAAGCAGGUCAUAGUGAUCCGGUGGUUCUGAAUGGAAGGGCCAUCGCUCAACGGAUAAAAGGUACUCCGGGGAUAACAGGCUGAUACCGCCCAAGAGUUCAUAUCGACGGCGGUGUUUGGCACCUCGAUGUCGGCUCAUCACAUCCUGGGGCUGAAGUAGGUCCCAAGGGUAUGGCUGUUCGCCAUUUAAAGUGGUACGCGAGCUGGGUUUAGAACGUCGUGAGACAGUUCGGUCCCUAUCUGCCGUGGGCGCUGGAGAACUGAGGGGGGCUGCUCCUAGUACGAGAGGACCGGAGUGGACGCAUCACUGGUGUUCGGGUUGUCAUGCCAAUGGCACUGCCCGGUAGCUAAAUGCGGAAGAGAUAAGUGCUGAAAGCAUCUAAGCACGAAACUUGCCCCGAGAUGAGUUCUCCCUGACCCUUUAAGGGUCCUGAAGGAACGUUGAAGACGACGACGUUGAUAGGCCGGGUGUGUAAGCGCAGCGAUGCGUUGAGCUAACCGGUACUAAUGAACCGUGAGGCUUAACCUU